This is a small nucleolar RNA of Apodemus sylvaticus (European woodmouse), 132 nucleotides long. RefSeq annotates it as small nucleolar RNA SNORA17. NCBI's taxonomy places the organism in Eukaryota, Metazoa, Chordata, Mammalia, Rodentia, Muridae. The transcript has a single exon. The record is from RefSeq and is a predicted model, not a curated record.
AUAGAAAUAAGAGGCUCUGUGGGUGUAGCUGCUGUGUUGCAUGUGUGUCAGUAGGUGGCAGAAAGGAAAGAGGCUGUGUGUAAGCUCAGCGCUCGGACCUAUGAGUGUCUGAAUGAUUAGUAGCCUAACAUC